ACAGGUGCAGAGAAGAAAAGCAUAUGCAGAAAUUGGUGUUCACCGCAUGUGAUCCAUGGAGUCGCCGCUGUCCGCCGGCGUCCUGCCUCAAACGUUGUCGGCCUUACGCAUCUAGCCACACGCGCGAGGCCAGGAGGCGGAGGAACUAGCCAUGACGCCGAGUGGCUUGGAGGUCUCACAUACAGUUUAUGUCCCUCGCCUGAUGGUUACUCGAAGAAGUUACAUCGCCAUGCAGAAAACACAUACACUUCUUCUGACUUUUGUGGGUGUUGGAUAAAUCUGAGGAUGCAUCGACACCGCGGUUCGACCAAACACCUUCAACGUGUGGUACAUUGUAGUAAGGAGUUUCGAGAACGACCAUAUACAAGGUAUAUACAUAAACACUAAUAUGGAGAGCACUACCCACAGAGCGAUCUUUUCUACACACAUAAGCGUGUCAGCAUUGACAACAUCAAGUACGAUAUAUCAAGUUUCUACAGUAACAGCAUGUCAGGCAUGUACACUGUUGUGGAGAGGGUUGCUGGUGUGAUAUGUAAAUGGAAAGGAGGUUGCAUUGAUUGAUUCAUGAUUAAAAAAGUAACGAUGGACCGCCA
Triticum aestivum (bread wheat) is the source of this 593-nucleotide long non-coding RNA. RefSeq lists it as uncharacterized. Lineage: Eukaryota; Viridiplantae; Streptophyta; Magnoliopsida; Poales; Poaceae. The transcript has 3 exons. The record is from RefSeq and is a predicted model, not a curated record.